Musa acuminata AAA Group (dessert banana) is the source of this 796-nucleotide long non-coding RNA. RefSeq lists it as uncharacterized. The record is from RefSeq and is a predicted model, not a curated record. The transcript has 3 exons. NCBI's taxonomy places the organism in Eukaryota, Viridiplantae, Streptophyta, Magnoliopsida, Zingiberales, Musaceae.
AUUUGGUGUUCCUACUUUUGACAUUUAUAAUGCACUUUUUAGUUAUAUAUAUUCUUCAAAGGCAAUGUCUUACAUUAUUUCCACCGUAAGAUUGUAUUGGAGUGUUACAAGUUGAGACUUCGAACUGGCAUCUUCUUCAUUCCUCAUUGCCGACCUAAGUGGAACCUCCCUUCCCCAUGCCAAUACGAAUAACUCAAGCCUUCCUUUACAGCAGCUGGAUCCCAAGCAACAAUGUCAGUGUGUGCAUCUUCUUCGUUCGAUCCCUCGCACCCCAAGUGUUUGUUUAAUUGCCGAUGAAGCACGGAACACAAGGCCGAAGAGCGUCUCCAUGGGAACGACUCUCCGGCAGCGUGUCUAUGUCAUCUUCCUUCCUCAGCGUUGAAUUGCCUCGGGAGAGUAAUUGAACUUGCAUGUAGUUUCAAAACCUUGUUUUCCUGCAUGGAUUGGGUUCAUCAUCUCUGGGCCUCUUAAAACAGUCCGAAGAUUUUGGGCUACAAAUAAAUGACUCUACCUCUACAACAAAAGAAGAAAUAGGUCACCAUGGAGAACUUGGCAAACAUGCAUUCAAAUGUAGCGGAAGCAAUCUGUACCUCACCCAUCCGGCAUCUUGCAGGGGUAGGAAACUUCCUUUUUCUUUUGCUUCUGUCUAAUUUUUCCCUGUUUCUGAUUGCAGAAUGGGAGAUAGAAUUGAUAUCCCAAGUUUAAUUUUCUUGAGGAAAUUAUUGAUAUCCCAAAAGAUGGAACAGAACGUUCAAUCUAAAUCAAGCUAGAGACUAACACUGUAUUUUAUGAUGCA